Molecule: long non-coding RNA, 716 nt
Organism: Ficedula albicollis (Collared flycatcher)
Lineage: Eukaryota; Metazoa; Chordata; Aves; Passeriformes; Muscicapidae
Exons: 3
Source: RefSeq, a predicted model, not a curated record
CAAACUUGUUUAGAAACAUAGGACAAGUUUUCUCAUAAUUGAGACAGUGAAGUCUCUGCUACUCAGUGUGGAACCAGGAUUUCCACCAAAUACAUGUUUCAGUGCCAUGUUCUGUCAGGUAUUGGACAAAUAUCUCUAACAGCUACUCUUCACACAAGCUCUACUUCCAAAGCCAGAAUUCCACAUGAAGAUUUCCUUCAAAUGUAAAACUUGGGGGGACUGUCUAAAGCCAAGCGUAUAAAUGGCAUUCUGAACAUUUAGUUCUAGUCCAUUUAUUUUUGUUUACUUCUGUGCUUCAUUAUAAUGAGAUCCACGUUUUUGUGUAUCAAGGACUAUAAUUACUCGUGUCCAUAGAGCAGCUCAGCAGAGAGCAUAAUUAUUGCUCACAUGUCAGCUCAAGGCAAGAAUUAGACUCAAAAGUCUGACACGGUCAUUACUCCUACAUUUUAAUUUGUUCACCUCCUGGUAGCACCUAACAGAUCACCUAUGCCUGUCCUAAUUUUUCAAUACAAAGAGACUGAAUUCCUGCCUCUGUAUCCUUUUCUGUGAGGGAGAUAGUCACACCUGAAAAUGAAGCUCACACUCACAAGGACACAGGUUCAGGGACAGGGCAGCACAGGGCAGCACAGGGCACCUUGGCACGUGGGCAGCACUGCCAGCAUCACAGACACGUCUGAGGCUGCAGAGACGUGACAGAUGGUCCUGGGUGCACAGGA